Molecule: ribosomal RNA, 496 nt
Filed under: uncultured bacterium
Lineage: Bacteria
Description: partial 16S ribosomal RNA
Rfam family: Bacterial small subunit ribosomal RNA
Source: RNAcentral
GAUGAACGCUGGCGGCGUGCCUAAUACAUGCAAGUCGAGCGAACAGAUGAGGAGCUUGCUCCUCUGACGUUAGCGGCGGACGGGUGAGUAACACGUGGAUAACCUACCUAUAAGACUGGGAUAACUUCGGGAAACCGGAGCUAAUACCGGAUAAUAUAUUGAACCGCAUGGUUCAAUAGUGAAAGACGGUUUUGCUGUCACUUAUAGAUGGAUCCGCGCCGCAUUAGCUAGUUGGUAAGGUAACGGCUUACCAAGGCAACGAUGCGUAGCCGACCUAAGAGGGUGAUCGGCCACACUGGAACUGAGACACGGUCCAGACUCCUACGGGAGGCAGCAGUAGGGAAUCUGCCGCAAUGGGCGAAAGCCUGACGGAGCAACGCCGCGUGAGUGAUGAAGGUCUGCGGAUCGUAAAACUCUGUUAUUAGGGAAGAACAAAUGUGUAAGUAACGAUGCACGUCUUGACGGUACCUAAUCAGAAAGCCACGGCUAACUACGU